Columba livia (rock pigeon) is the source of this 3753-nucleotide long non-coding RNA. RefSeq lists it as uncharacterized. The transcript is spliced from 4 exons. The record is from RefSeq and is a predicted model, not a curated record. Lineage: Eukaryota; Metazoa; Chordata; Aves; Columbiformes; Columbidae.
UGAUGCUCUUCGCACAGGCAACAAGUCACGGCUGCCCUGAACAGCCUUUUACCUGCAAGACAACUACCUAGAAGGAUCCCUGGAAUUAUUUUCAGCUAGAUCUUUCUCCAGACCUGGCCUAAAGUGCAGUCUCAAAGCUACUGAAAUGGCAAUAACCUCUAAAACUGAAGAAGACAGUGUUGGGAGGAAUACACAAGAGUUAGAACAGGAGUGAAAACUAACCUCUUAGUCGUCAAAUCUGCCAUUUCCAGAGAAGAAACAUAUUUAGUCAUGUCUUGAAAGCAGCAUCUUCUAAGAUCUAGUCUAUUAAGGAAAAUGGACCCAGGACUUGGAUCUGAAUUUGAGAACAAACAACAUGAUGGCAACUUUUCAGUCAUCGUCUUAGAGACCAAAACUCAUUCACUGUUCUAGAAUAAGAGACGACUGCUUGCUGGAGUCAGUUGGGCAGCCUGAAUCCUCAGCCACGAGGCCCCUUCCAGAGACCAUCCAAGUUCUUCCAUUCAGCUAGAAAUGGCUCAUGGAGUUCAUACAGUCUCCCAACCUGUGCACUAAUGGCACAUCAGAUUUUCAUAAGGCUGGAACUGCAGGCGUUAGUGGCUAAUAACCACCAUUGGUUGAAAUGUUAAAGCUCUGAAUUCUGUAGUAUCUUAGGUACUGUUCUGACCAUACCAAGUGCAAGCUUGCAAACCCUAUUCAAAAUACACUUACAGUGCUGUGAGACCUACAGGCUCCAUAGGCAUAGUCAGAAGAGGCUUGUAUGUAGAUAUUUGCCAACAGUGUUCGGCUGCAUUGUGGAAAAACUGGAAGUGAUCUUCUGCCAAAGGUGAUUUGGAAGCCAACCAAUCAAUAAAUGGUGCUCAGGUAAACACUUGUACUUAGUCAUUUAUUCCCUUCAAACAUUGACAAUAAGGAAUGUUCUAAUAAUUACUCAAUGUCAUAGCCUCCAGGAAAGAAAACAAUGGGCUGAGUUCAUCCCUGAUGUAACCGUGGUUAAAUUUGCCUUUUGCAGUUAUUUAAAACAUCUUUUAGAGAACAGCAAAUUGGGUCUGGCAUUGCAUUUAUUCAAAGACUAUGUAUGAGUAAGUCUUUAUUUCUAUCUGUCCUCUAAAGCCUCCUGAAAAAAUGUCAUGGAGUAUCAGGGGCGUUAAAUAGUGAAAUCUAUUUCUAAACACGUUACAUCUAUUUCUAUAAACCUUCCCCAAUUUCUCUUUGUUUGUUUUUAAUCUGAGUCCAAAUUGAGAUCCAGAAUUUAAAUUCUGGAUAUCUGUUUCUUUCAGCAAAUAACGGUACUGAAGUUAUGAUGGGAAACGAGUUGCAGUUUCAUCAAUUUUGCCUCCAUCCAAAUCCAUAUUAGCUAGCCCUGAAAAACACUUCUGGCAGGUCAUUUACCUUUAGUCUGUCAGAGUUUUGUUCAAAAAUAUGUUGUGGUGGUUUUGCUUGUUUGUUAACCAAAAUUGUUUGACUUUUCUUUCCAAAUUAAUUACAAAACAAGGGUCACUUAAAUGUUGCUUGUUUCAGUGACAUCCUGCUGUCUUCAAAGUGAGUUAAAGCUAUCCGAAUUUGGGACGAUAUUUGAAAUGCUGCUGAUGGUUUGGGGACAUUUGCUUUUUUGUUUCUUUUUCAAUCUUGGUAUACUUCCACAUGCUCUUUUAGUCCUUGUUGAUAAACUGAUUUACUUUAAAAAGUUUAAACUUUUUUGGGGACUCUAGCUUUUAGAUUAUUAUCAUAUUUACAAAGACGAGUUUGUCUGAAUCACCAAAGAUAUACUGAAAAAGGAUUUAAAGGAAUAAAGAGCUGAGAUCAGUGAGACCAUAAGUAAUUACAUCUUGAGCUUACUGAAAAGGGAUGUGUUUUCUGUAAUCACAGGUUGAGAGAAUGCUUUAGUCAUGUUCACUCUUUUGUUAACAAGUUCUCUAUGAAUGGAAAUGAAAAUUGACACCAAUAGAAAAAACAUUUUUCUAGAAAGCUCUUUCUGAUGUUCAAGUGCAGUGUCAAAUGUUGUUCGACAUUGCAUACUUUGUAAAAGAUUUGAAAUAUGUAUUAACCAUCUGGCAAAGUCACCUCUUUAAACCAACCAAGACAUUUUCUGCUACUAGUGUAAUGUCUUUUGAGCACCUUGUUAGAAAUCUUAGGCUUUUGUUUAAGAGACUUUAAAGGAGCAAGCCUUCAGUCCUGACCCUCCGUAACUCCUAUCAACACCCUUGUGCCUUCUCCCUCAGGACACCAAAAAUGACCCACUUAUCCAUCCAUUUGGUCAUUCUGUAUGAUUGGAUCAAAACUUAUGAGAUGUGCCUUUAGAUGUAUCUCUGUUUUAACUAUUUCUGCUAGUGUACUGAAAUAGCCUGUGUGGCUAUGGGCAAAGAUACUCAGCUUAUAAUUUUGUGAGAACAGAAGUCAGGUUUCUAUCAUUUUUUGGUCCUCUGAUGUUCUCUGCAAAGACCAGUCAGGGACAGGAAUGAGCCAUGUGGGAGACCUUGCACCUGCAGCACCACUUGUUCAUGCUGAAUUGGUUCAAGAUUAGAUAAAUCCUUGCUUCUCUUUGGAAAAAAAUAAAGCUGAAGGCCAGUCUGUUUCCCUCCUUCACAUGCUUCUGCCAUAGGGUAAAUGAGAACACCAAGCACUUCUCACAGGGACAAAUCAAGAAGGACCAUGUACACAUGUGGUCUGGUGUGUGUGUCGGGAGCAAAGAGACCUGGAAACACAUGGACAACCCAAACUUCCCCUAACCGGCAAAAGAAACCUACGCACUUGGAGUAUCUCCACACAGAAGUUGUUUUUGUUUUGAUUAAUUUUUUUUACUAUUUAUUUAUAUUAAAGUAGAUUUUGACUCCUCAAAUAAGGCUUAUUCCUUGGGGCAGGAAAGUAGUAACUGACAGAAGACAUGACAGUGUCAGUGGAAGUGUAUCUAUAGUAGGGUCGAUAGCCCUGGGGGAAGCACUCUUCUGAUUGAAAUAUUUAGGCCAGUAUAAAACUGGCAUGUGUUGGUAUAACUUCGUUCUGUUUAAACAGCUGGACAAGGGGAAGCCAGGGGUAAAGCUUCACUCUGCUCCUCAAGCUGCAAUGGUUGUUGCAGCCCCCAGCAGUUGUAACACGUGGGUGACCACAGUGGUCGGGGGCCAGAGGGCUGGAGAUCAGGUGUGCGGGCAGAGGGAAAAGUGUUUCCACAUGGGGCUGACAGAGCUUGCUUCACCAGAGUAGCAUCAUGUGUCAAGAAAGAAGAAUUCAAAACUAAGACAGGGACAGGAUGGAUGAAGAUGCCAACUGCUCUUCCUCUUACGAAGUUUUGGUACAUGGAAAUCAGCAAUAAUUUGACAGGACCGCAGUCAAGAAGGGCAGAAGAAAAAGGAAUCUGUCUCACCCUUUAAUCCAGUCCUUGGAAUAUGUUCAAAUAACCAGGGUAUGUAAGUGUAUAUAUACAUAUAUGUAUGCCUAUAUCUCUGUGUAUGUCUGUGUUUACCGAUAUAAUUUUUCAAUUGAUUAUGGUUUACCAGACAUUCUAUAAUGCCUUGGAAGUUACUAUUAUGGUUUACCUCAUAAAAAAAAUGUAGCCAGUUUUUAAAAUAUGUUGUUACCCAAUAUAUUAAAGGGGCUUCUGUGGAGCAAUGACACUCCAUUGCAUACAUAUGUGUUUCAGUAACUUAAGAAACUGAAUUAUUUACUGAAUGGAAUAUAAAUAUUUUUAUAUAUAUAUAUAUAUGCACACAUAUAUAAGAUUUCUGCUCCUAGUCUUCAUGUUGGAUGAAUUGCUAAAAC